AACGAACGCUGGCGGCAUGCCUAACACAUGCAAGUCGAACGAGACCUUCGGGUCUAGUGGCGCACGGGUGCGUAACGCGUGGGAAUCUGCCCUUGGGUUCGGAAUAAACUUCGGGAAACUGAAGCUAAUACCGGAUGAUGACGUAAGUCCAAAGAUUUAUCGCCCAAGGAUGAGCCCGCGUAGGAUUAGCUAGUUGGUGAGGUAAAGGCUCACCAAGGCGACGAUCCUUAGCUGGUCUGAGAGGAUGAUCAGCCACACUGGGACUGAGACACGGCCCAGACUCCUACGGAGGCAGCAGUGGGGAAUAUUGGACAAUGGGCGAAAGCCUGAUCCAGCAAUA
RNAcentral lists this ribosomal RNA (340 nucleotides) under uncultured bacterium. RNAcentral's name for it is "bacterial SSU rRNA". It matches the Rfam family "Bacterial small subunit ribosomal RNA", at positions 29 to 396 of the family's 1533-position model. The record is from RNAcentral.